CUGGUUAUUUAAGCACUAAGGUGUGUUAGCUGACUGUUUUGGUCAUGGGAGCAGGAUGUUCUUCCUUAUUUAUAGUCUUCUAUCAUUGCUGACUUUUUCCUUAUUUCACUUUCCAUUAUAACUGACAGUUCUUAUUUUUGCACUGCCAGUGGGUACGCUUUUUGGAAGAUGGGUCUGUGAAUUACAUAGUUGGAGCGAAGCAACCUGACUAUCUGGUUACUGCUGAUGAUGUUGAUUCAUACCUUGCCAUUGAAGUAGAGCCCCUUGAUGGCAGGAACAGGAUGGUCAAGUGGAGCUUGCUGCCGUAGGAGUUUGCAUUGCUGUAUUUAAUCAAGUAUCAAGGGUUCCUAUCUUCAGAGGAUUUUUUUGACGCUACUCGCGCUGGGAGUACCAUAUAGAGGAUUUUUUAUAUAUAUAAAAUUAUUUAAGACCAUUUUCAAUUUAUUAUAUAAAAUAUUAUAUAUAUUUUUUAUUGUGAAGUAAUAUAGAUUUUGUUUAAUAUUUAGUUUAAAUUGUAUUGCAACAUUUUUUAUGUUUCAAAUAUUAAAAAAAUACUAUGUUGAAAUU
This is a long non-coding RNA of Magnolia sinica, 567 nucleotides long. RefSeq lists it as uncharacterized. NCBI's taxonomy places the organism in Eukaryota, Viridiplantae, Streptophyta, Magnoliopsida, Magnoliales, Magnoliaceae. The record is from RefSeq and is a predicted model, not a curated record. The transcript has 3 exons.